CUUUGUAUUUGAUCUUCUGGACAACUUAAUCAGAGGACGGCUUAAUUUCUGUCGAUGUCCUCUGGAAAGAAAAAUAUCAAUCCAUUAUUUAAAUUGCGCGUGAGCCCCGACUUCCUGCCGUCCGUUUCAAAAUAAGAGUCUCGCUAUCUUAAGCGUCCAACGUGUGUACCGCCAGAACAAACCUUACAGUGUGUGUGUGUGUGUGUGUGUGUGCGCGCUAUCAAUGCUAGUUUGUGUGCUGCUCCUGUGGCAGCUUUAUUAGGCUAAAUGUAAUGUUCAAGUACCAUAGUAUUCUUAUGUCGGUUUCGCAUCUCUUCUGUCUCUCCCUCCUUUUAUCUCUCCAAGCUCUCUCCAUCCGUCCCUCCCUCUUCUCUUUUGAAUCCCCCUCUUUCCUUCCAUCUUUUUCUCCCUCCAAGCUCCCUUUCUCUCUCUCCAAGCUCCCGCUCUUCCGCCUUGUCUUGGUCUCUCUCCCUCCCUCCUUCUCUGUCUCUUUAAACUCCCUCUCUUCCUACCUCACUAUCCAAGUUCCCUCCCUCCCUGUGUCCCUCUCUCUUUUUGUCCUCUGUGCCUUCCUUAGGAAAAUUGAUCAUCACCGGUCGAAGAAUACCAGAGCUGAUGGAGCGUACGGGCAGACUCCUGAUGACAGGUGCAGCUGUGGAGGCUGGAAAACUAUUUCCAGGGUUUCCUUGACGACAGGGACCAGAUAACGACCACAGGACGUGGAGAGAUAGAGAUGUCAUUCCGUGGCUCAGUGCACCUGCACUGCUUUGCUCCCUCCAGCGCAGACGACGAGGAGCCUCCGGAUAUCAACCACAAAGAGGAAGAAUUAGUUUCAUAGAUAAUCUAGAACAUCUGAUACAAGCCGCAAUAAAUCAAUUUAAUGUUAAA
Betta splendens (Siamese fighting fish) is the source of this 888-nucleotide long non-coding RNA. RefSeq lists it as uncharacterized. The transcript has 2 exons. The record is from RefSeq and is a predicted model, not a curated record. NCBI's taxonomy places the organism in Eukaryota, Metazoa, Chordata, Actinopteri, Anabantiformes, Osphronemidae.